RNAcentral lists this ribosomal RNA (838 nucleotides) under Flavobacterium sp. AKB-2008-JO5. Its description in RNAcentral is "bacterial SSU rRNA". It matches the Rfam family "Bacterial small subunit ribosomal RNA", at positions 27 to 871 of the family's 1533-position model. The record is from RNAcentral. Lineage: Bacteria; Pseudomonadati; Bacteroidota; Flavobacteriia; Flavobacteriales; Flavobacteriaceae.
GGAUGAACGCUAGCGGCAGGCUUAACACAUGCAAGUCGAGGGGUAUGUCGAUUUAUCGGCAGAGACCGGCGCACGGGUGCGUAACGCGUAUGCAAUCUGCCUUUCACAGAGGGAUAGCCCAGAGAAAUUUGGAUUAAUACCUCAUAGUAUUAUAGGAUGGCAUCAUUUUAUAAUUAAAGUCACAACGGUGAAAGAUGAGCAUGCGUCCCAUUAGCUAGUUGGUAAGGUAACGGCUUACCAAGGCAACGAUGGGUAGGGGUCCUGAGAGGGAGAUCCCCCACACUGGUACUGAGACACGGACCAGACUCCUACGGGAGGCAGCAGUGAGGAAUAUUGGUCAAUGGGCGCAAGCCUGAACCAGCCAUGCCGCGUGCAGGAUGACGGUCCUAUGGAUUGUAAACUGCUUUUGUACGAGAAGAAACCUCCCGACGUGUCGGGACUUGACGGUAUCGUAAGAAUAAGGAUCGGCUAACUCCGUGCCAGCAGCCGCGGUAAUACGGAGGAUCCAAGCGUUAUCCGGAAUCAUUGGGUUUAAAGGGUCCGUAGGCGGUUUAGUAAGUCAGUGGUGAAAGCCCAUCGCUCAACGGUGGAACGGCCAUUGAUACUGCUGAACUUGAAUUAUUAGGAAGUAACUAGAAUAUGUAGUGUAGCGGUGAAAUGCUUAGAUAUUACAUGGAAUACCAAUUGCGAAGGCAGGUUACUACUAAUUGAUUGACGCUGAUGGACGAAAGCGUGGGGAGCGAACAGGAUUAGAUACCCUGGUAGUCCACGCCGUAAACGAUGGAUACUAGCUGUUGGGAGCAAUCUCAGUGGCUAAGCGAAAGUGAUAAGUAUCCCA